This 253-nucleotide ribosomal RNA is filed under the name uncultured bacterium. RNAcentral describes it as "partial 16S ribosomal RNA". It matches the Rfam family "Bacterial small subunit ribosomal RNA", at positions 524 to 776 of the family's 1533-position model. The record is from RNAcentral.
UACGGAGGAUGCAAGCGUUAUCCGGAAUGAUUGGGCGUAAAGCGUCCGCAGGUGGCUAUGUAAGUCUGCUGUUAAAGAGUGAGGCUCAACCUCAUAAGAGCAGUGGAAACUACAUGGCUAGAGUGCGUUCGGGGCAGAGGGAAUUCCUGGUGUAGCGGUGAAAUGCGUAGAUAUCUGCAGGAACACCCGUGGCGAAAGCGGCGCGCUGGACCACUACUGACGCUGAGGAACGAAAGCUAGGGGAGCAAACAGG